RNAcentral lists this ribosomal RNA (598 nucleotides) under uncultured soil bacterium. RNAcentral's name for it is "bacterial SSU rRNA". It matches the Rfam family "Bacterial small subunit ribosomal RNA", at positions 28 to 605 of the family's 1533-position model. The record is from RNAcentral.
AAUCAACGCUGGCGGCGUGCCUAACACAUGCAAGUCGAACGCGAAAGCCCCGCAAGGGGUAAGUAGAGUGGCAAACGGGUGAGUAACACGUGGGUGACCUGCCUUCGAGUGGGGGAUAACGUCCCGAAAGGGACGCUAAUACCGCAUGACAUCCUGCCUUUGGAAAGGCGGAGAUCAAAGCCUGGGAUCGCAAGACCUGGCGCUUGAAGAGGGGCCCGCGCCUGAUUAGCUAGUUGGUGGGGUAACGGCCUACCAAGGCGACGAUCAGUAUCCGGCCUGAGAGGGCGGACGGACACACUGGGACUGAGACACGGCCCAGACUCCUACGGGAGGCAGCAGUGGGGAAUUGUUCGCAAUGGGCGCAAGCCUGACGACGCAACGCCGCGUGGAGGACGAAGAUCUUCGGGUCGUAAACUCCUGUCGAGCGGGAAGAACGCUUCCCGGGUGAAUAAUCCGGGGAAUUGACGGUACCGCUAAAGGAAGCCCCGGCUAACUCCGUGCCAGCAGCCGCGGUAAUACGGGGGGGGCAAGCGUUGUUCGGAAUUACUGGGCGUAAAGGGCCAGUAGGCGGCCAACUAAGUCGGAUGUGAAAUCCCCA